This is a transfer RNA of 77 nucleotides. It matches the Rfam family "tRNA". From Rfam's summary of the family: Transfer RNA (tRNA) molecules are approximately 80 nucleotides in length. Their secondary structure includes four short double-helical elements and three loops (D, anti-codon, and T loops). The record is from Rfam.
GCCUCGGUAGCUACAGUUGUGGUUAGAGCGCUCGCUUGGUAAGCGAGAGGUCGUGGGUUCAACUCCCACCCGAGGCU